Molecule: small nuclear RNA, 64 nt
Organism: Peromyscus leucopus (white-footed mouse)
Lineage: Eukaryota; Metazoa; Chordata; Mammalia; Rodentia; Cricetidae
Product: U7 small nuclear RNA
Exons: 1
Source: RefSeq, a predicted model, not a curated record
AACUGUUACAGCUCUUUUUAGAAUUUGUCUAGUAGGAUUUCUGACCUUCAUCUAAAACACCAUC